RNAcentral lists this ribosomal RNA (609 nucleotides) under uncultured bacterium. RNAcentral's name for it is "bacterial SSU rRNA". It matches the Rfam family "Bacterial small subunit ribosomal RNA", at positions 71 to 716 of the family's 1533-position model. The record is from RNAcentral.
AAGCUAUCUUCGGAUGGUGGAGACCGGCAGACGGGUGAGUAACACGUGGGAACAUACCGAGUAGUGGGGGAUAACAGUUGGAAACGACUGCUAAUACCGCAUACGCCCUUCGGGGGAAAGAUUUAUCGCUAUUCGAUUGGCCCGCGUUAGAUUAGCUAGUUGGUAAGGUAACGGCUUACCAAGGCGACGAUCUAUAGCUGGUUUGAGAGGAUGAUCAGCCACACUGGGACUGAGACACGGCCCAGACUCCUACGGGAGGCAGCAGUGGGGAAUAUUGCGCAAUGGAGGAAACUCUGACGCAGCCAUGCCGCGUGAGUGAAGAAGGCCUUAGGGUUGUAAAGCUCUUUCAGACGUGAUGAUGAUGACAGUAGCGUCAAAAGAAGUUCCGGCUAACUUCGUGCCAGCAGCCGCGGUAAUACGAAGGGAACUAGCGUUGUUCGGAUUUACUGGGCGUAAAGAGCAUGUAGGCGGAUUGGACAGUUGAGGGUGAAAUCCCAGAGCUCAACUCUGGAACGGCCUUCAAUACUUCCAGUCUAGAGUCCGUAAGGGGGUGGUGGAAUUCCGAGUGUAGAGGUGAAAUUCGUAGAUAUUCGGAGGAACACCAGUGGC